RNAcentral lists this ribosomal RNA (90 nucleotides) under Nitrospirota bacterium. RNAcentral's name for it is "partial 16S ribosomal RNA". It matches the Rfam family "Bacterial small subunit ribosomal RNA", at positions 1 to 85 of the family's 1533-position model. The record is from RNAcentral. Lineage: Bacteria; Pseudomonadati; Nitrospirota.
ACACAUGAGAGUUUGAUCCUGGCUCAGAACGAACGCUGGCGGCGUGCCUAACACAUGCAAGUCGGACGGAUCCUGAAAAAGUAGCAAUAC